AGAAGAUGGCGGAUGAGCAGCGUGCAGGGUUUUCUCCCUGUGGCUCACUCUCUCUUACUGUGCUGGGCGGUUGCUUCCUCUCCUGCUGCCCUUGGGAGUCAGACUCCAGGUUCUUCAGCCUGUGGCCCCUGGGGCUCUCGGGCCUUGGAGGACUGACUAGGAGCACACGGUGGGCCUCUCUGGUUUGGGGGCCUGGGACGUGGCGGAGCCCUGCAGCUUCUGUGCGGCCUGUUCUGGGCGUCGCGUUGAAACGCCAGCCAGUUCCCCAAGUAAGCUCCCUGCACACACGCCUGAUAGCCUGUUGGUUCCGUCCUUCUGCGGGAUUUUCACUACCACUCUCUAACUCACACACAGCAGAAAGAGCAUACGGGAGAGAUGAAGCAGUCCACUCCAAGAACAUUCUCAUCCUACGGAUUACGAGUCCCCCUGGGAUUACAGGAGUGUUGAAGAAAUGUUGUGACACAUCAGAACACCGCGAAAUACAUGGACACUUUCAAAUCAUGGAAGACUCAAGAAGAAACUUUAAUUAGAAGGAAACAGGAAUAUUCAACGGACUCCCAAGACAAGAAUAUAGAUGUAUAUCAGAAGCUGAGCAUUGAAGUUGCUACUAGAGUCUCCCCGAGCCCUUAUUGGAUUCUCACUUCAGGAGCUGCUUUCAUUAUUUUGCCUCUCAGUUUCAAAAUAGACAAAGAACUCAACACUCAACAAUAAGAAAAUGAACAACUUGGUUGAAAAAUGGGCCAAAGACCUUAACAGACACCUCACCAAAGAUGAUAGACAGGUAGGAAAUAAACAUAUAAAAAGAUGCUGCACGUCAGAUGUCAUCAGAAAAGUGCAAUUAAAACAACAAUGAGACACCACUAUGCAUCUCCUAGAAUGACCAAAACCCAGAACACUGACACCAAAUACUCUUGAGGAUGUGGAGCAAUUCUCAUUGCUGAUGGGAAUGCAAAAUGGUACAGUCUUUUGGAAGACAGCUUGGAGGUUUCUUAUAAAGCUAAACUUGGAUUUACCAUACCAUCUACCAGCAGUGCUCCUUGGUAUUUACCCAGUGGAGCUGAAAAUGUAUGUCCCCACAGAAAAACAGGCACGUGGACGCUUACAGAAGUUUUACACAUAAUUUCCAAGACUUGGAAGCAACCAAGAUGUCCUUCAGUCGGUGAAUGGAAGAAUAAACUGUGGAACAAUCAGACCAUGGAAUAUUAUUCAGUGCUGAAUAGAAAUGAGCUAAGAAAGCCAUAAAAAAACAUGGAGGAAAAGUAAGUGCAUAUUGUUAAGUUUAAGAGUCCAAAAGGCAACAUGCUCUAUGCUCCAACUUUAUGACAUUCUGAAAUCGGCGAAACUAUGGAAAAAGUAAAAAUAUUAGUGAUGCCAGGGGUUAAAGGAAGAGAGAAAGGGACAGGCAAGAGAACAGAGGAUUUUUAGGGCAGUGCAAAUACUCUGUAUAAUACAAUAAUGGUGGGUACACAACCUUAUACCUUUGUCCAAACCCACAGAAUGUUCAACACCAAGACUGAACCCUAAUGUAACCUGUGGACUUUGGAUGAUAAUGACGCAUCAAUGCAAGUCAUAAAUUUGGAAAAAUGUACCUCUCCUGGGAAGGAGUUGAUAAUGAGUGAGUCUAUGCAUGUGUAGGGGGAGGGGUUAUGUGAGAUAUUCAUGUACUUUCUGCCCAGUUUUGCUGUGAACCUAAAAUUACACUAAAAGUGGGCAAAGGACGUGAACAGACAAUUCUCAAAUGAAGACAUACAUGCAGCCAACAAAUAUAAAAUAAAGCCCAAUGUCACUGAUCAUUAGAAUAUUGCAUAUCAAAACCACAAUGAGAUACCACCAGAUGAUUAUUAAAAAGUCAAAAAAUAACAGAUACUGGCGAGGUUGUCAAGAAAAAGGAAUGCUUUUAUACUUUUGGUGGAAGUUCAACCACUGUGGAAGAUGGUGUAGUGAUUCCGCAAAGACUAGAGGCAGAAAUACCAUUUGACCCAACAAUCCCAUUACUGGGUAUAUACCCAAACAAGUAUAAAUUAUUCUGUUAUAAAGACACAUGCACAUGUAUGUUCAUUGCAGCACUAUUCACAAUAGCAAAGACAUAGAAUCAACCUAAAUGAUCCUCAGUGAUAGACUGGAUAAAGAAAAUGUGGUACAUAUAUACCAUGAAAUACUAUGCAGCCAUAAAAAGGAAUGAGAGUAUGUCCUUUGCAGUGACAUGACUGGAGCUGGAGGCCAUUAUUCUUAGCAAACUAACGCAGCAACAGAAAAACAAA
This is a long non-coding RNA of Homo sapiens (human), 2261 nucleotides long. Ensembl annotates it as long intergenic non-protein coding RNA 1446. Lineage: Eukaryota; Metazoa; Chordata; Mammalia; Primates; Hominidae. The record is from Ensembl.